RNAcentral lists this RNase P RNA (339 nucleotides) under Burkholderiaceae bacterium. RNAcentral describes it as "RNase P RNA component class A". It matches the Rfam family "Bacterial RNase P class A". Rfam says of the family: Ribonuclease P (RNase P) is a ubiquitous endoribonuclease, found in archaea, bacteria and eukarya as well as chloroplasts and mitochondria. The record is from RNAcentral. Lineage: Bacteria; Pseudomonadati; Pseudomonadota; Betaproteobacteria; Burkholderiales; Burkholderiaceae.
GAAGCAAGCCAGACAGCCGCUGGUUGCCGCAGCGAUGCGGUGACGGGAGGAAGGUCCGGACUCCACAGAGCAGGGUGACGGUUAACGGCCGUCCGCCGAAAGCCGCAAGGUAUAAGGCGAGGAAUAGGGCCACAGAGACGAGCGUAUUUAGUUACGGUGAAACGCGGUAACCUCCACUCGGUGCAAUUCCAAGCAGUACGCGAUGAGGCUGCUCGCGGAGCGUACGGGUAGGAAGCUUGAGCGCCGGAGUAAUUCGGCGCCUAGAGGAAUGGCUGUCAUAGCGCGGAUUCGCAAGGGUUCGCGCCGUAACAAAAUCCGGCCUAUCGGCUUGCUUCACUU